CUGGAUCAUUUUCCGAUGAUUUUAUAUUAUACAUACAACCGCGAGAAGAGAGGAGGAGGGUAUAUCUCUCUCUGUGUGUGUGUGUGUGCAAGAGGGGGAAAAGGUAUGGUGUAUUUUUGUAUAUACUUGCCUGUGUGUACCCCUUGUGUAUUGUGAGCACCACACACUCUCUUCUUCGCACUACACAUAUAUCUCCUCGACACAUUGUGCGCAUAUAUAUAUAUAUAUAUAUAUAUAUAUAUAUAUAAUGUGUGUGCUCUAAGUGUUGUGGAAAAAGUAACUUGCCGCUUGACCUCGUGUGUGGAUAUGGUGUGUAGUGUCUGUGUGGUGUUUGUUUAUAUAUAUAUAUAUAUAUAUAAACAGGUGCGCACAUACACACACCCAGAAAAGAACACGUCGUGAAGCACGGCCCCAACAACGUGUCGCGAUGGAUGACUUGGCUUCCUAUUUCGUAGAAGAACGCAGCAAAGUGCGAUAAGUGGUAUCA
This 487-nucleotide unclassified non-coding RNA is filed under the name Trypanosoma nabiasi. RNAcentral's name for it is "sequence contains 18S rRNA gene, ITS1". The stretch from base 417 to 487 matches the Rfam family "5.8S ribosomal RNA", at positions 1 to 70 of the family's 154-position model. Lineage: Eukaryota; Euglenozoa; Kinetoplastea; Trypanosomatida; Trypanosomatidae. The record is from RNAcentral.